Molecule: RNase P RNA, 350 nt
Filed under: Taylorella equigenitalis
Lineage: Bacteria; Pseudomonadati; Pseudomonadota; Betaproteobacteria; Burkholderiales; Alcaligenaceae
Description: RNase P RNA component class A
Rfam family: Bacterial RNase P class A
About the family: Ribonuclease P (RNase P) is a ubiquitous endoribonuclease, found in archaea, bacteria and eukarya as well as chloroplasts and mitochondria.
Source: RNAcentral
GAAGCAAGCUGGACAAUCGUGGGAGUUUUCCCGAGGAAAGUCCGGACUCCACAGGGUAAAAUAGCGGCUAACGGCCGUCCACCGUGAGGUGAGGAAUAGGGCCACAGAGACGAGGCUAGGGUGUGGGCAGUUAUGCUGCACUGGUACGGCCACUUCCGUAUUGCGUCUUUUGGACAGCAUUCUAGAGUGAAACGCGGUAACCUCUAUUUGGAGCAACUCCAAGAAGCAUGCAUUAAGGGCUACCCGUCCGAGUAUGCGGGUAGGAGGCUUGAAUUAAUUAGUAAUAAUUAAUCUAGAUGAAUGAUUGUCGACUUUGUCUACAGAAUCCGGCUUAUAGGCUUGCUUCAUUU